RNAcentral lists this ribosomal RNA (269 nucleotides) under uncultured Pseudomonas sp. RNAcentral describes it as "partial 16S ribosomal RNA". It matches the Rfam family "Bacterial small subunit ribosomal RNA", at positions 1115 to 1382 of the family's 1533-position model. The record is from RNAcentral. Lineage: Bacteria; Pseudomonadati; Pseudomonadota; Gammaproteobacteria; Pseudomonadales; Pseudomonadaceae.
UUACCAGCACGUUAUGGUGGGCACUCUAAGGAGACUGCCGGUGACAACCGGAGGAAGGUGGGGGAUGACGUCAAGUCAUCAUGGCCCUUACGGCCUGGGCUACACACGUGCUACAAUGGUCGGUACAAAGGGUUGCCAAGCCGCGAGGUGGAGCUAAUCCCAUAAAACCGAUACGUAGUCCGGAUCGCAGUCUGCAACUCGACUGCGUGAAGUCGGAAUCGCUAGUAAUCGUGAAUCAGAAUGUCACGGUGAAUACGUUCCCGGGCCUU